This 329-nucleotide unclassified non-coding RNA is filed under the name soil metagenome. Its description in RNAcentral is "partial contains 5.8S ribosomal RNA, internal transcribed spacer 2, and large subunit ribosomal RNA". The stretch from base 1 to 120 matches the Rfam family "5.8S ribosomal RNA", at positions 35 to 154 of the family's 154-position model. The record is from RNAcentral.
GAUGAAGAACGUAGCGAAAUGCGAUAAGUAGUGUGAAUUGCAGAAUUCAGUGAAUCAUCGAAUCUUUGAACGCACAUUGCGCCCCUUGGUAUCCCGAGGGGCAUGCCUGUUCGAGCGUCAUUUCACCACUCAAGCCUGGCUUGGUGUUGGGCGACGUCCCCUUUGGGGACGCGCCUCGAAACGCUCGGCGGCGUGGCACCGGCUUUAAGCGUAGCAGAAUCUUUCGCUUUGGAAGUCGGGGCCCCGUCUGCCGGAAGACCUACUCGCAAGGUUGACCUCGGAUCAGGCAGGGAUACUCGCUGAACUUAAGCAUAUCAAUAAGCGGAGGA